UACGUAGGCAGCAAGCGUUGUUCGGAGCUACUGGGCGUAAAGGGUGCGUAGGCGGUCCUAUAAGUAUGGUGUGAAAUCUCCCGGCUUAACUGGGAGGGUGCGCUAUAGACUGUGGGACUAGAGUGUGGGAGAGGAAAGUGGAAUUCCUGGUGUAGCGGUGAAAUGCGUAGAUAUCAGGAGGAACACCGGUGGUGUAAACGGCUUUCUGGACCAUAACUGACGCUGAGGCACGAAAGCGUGGGUAGCAAACAGG
RNAcentral lists this ribosomal RNA (253 nucleotides) under uncultured bacterium. RNAcentral's name for it is "partial 16S ribosomal RNA". It matches the Rfam family "Bacterial small subunit ribosomal RNA", at positions 524 to 776 of the family's 1533-position model. The record is from RNAcentral.